Non-coding RNA from Ailuropoda melanoleuca (giant panda), 547 nucleotides. NCBI's taxonomy places the organism in Eukaryota, Metazoa, Chordata, Mammalia, Carnivora, Ursidae. The record is from the annotation of a RefSeq genome assembly.
CACCACUUCUUCUGAGAAACCAGAACCAGCCCCGCCCUCCAGCCACUGACAUGACAAGUCCUGUUACCGGGGACCUCACUUCUUACCUUGUCACCGGGGAGCCAGCCAGGCCAAAGGGAUGCCACUUCUGGAAGCAGUCAUCUUCUCCUGCCUCUGGGCCUUUGGCCUUGGCCAGGUGAAAUUGGAGCAACCGGAAAUAUCAAUUUCCAGAGCAAGAGAUAAGAGUGCCCACAUAUCAUGCAAGGUGUUCAUUUCGGACUUUAACAAUGCAAAGAUACACUGGUACCGGCAGAAGCCAGAUCAGGAGAUAGAACAUCUAACAUAUAUCCAGGCAAGCUCUGGUCAAGUUUCUUUAGGUGGGAAGAAAAACAAACUUGAAGCAAGUAAAAAUGCUCUUACUUCCACUUCAACCUUGAAUAUAAAUUUCUUAGAGAAACAAGACGAGGCCGUGUACUACUGUGCCUGCUGGGAUUGGGACCCACGGCAUCAGCGUUGCCAAGAGGAGCUGCACAAGAACCGUCCUCAGGUCUGACCCACCCACAUCCUG